RNAcentral lists this ribosomal RNA (333 nucleotides) under uncultured Bacillota bacterium. Its description in RNAcentral is "bacterial SSU rRNA". It matches the Rfam family "Bacterial small subunit ribosomal RNA", at positions 28 to 351 of the family's 1533-position model. Lineage: Bacteria; Bacillati; Bacillota. The record is from RNAcentral.
GACGAACGCUGGCGGCGUGCCUAAUACAUGCAAGUCGAGCGGAUGACGAGGAGCUUGCUCCUCUGAUUCAGCGGCGGACGGGUGAGUAACACUUGGGCAACCUGCCUGUAAGACUGGGAUAACUCCGGGAAACCGGGGCUAAUACCGGAUAGGUGAUGUCUUCGCAUGAAGAGAUCAGGAAAGAUGGCUUCGGCUAUCACUUACAGAUGGGCCCGCGGCGCAUUAGCUAGUUGGUGAGGUAACGGCUCACCAAGGCGACGAUGCGUAGCCGACCUGAGAGGGUGAUCGGCCACACUGGGACUGAGACACGGCCCAGACUCCUACGGGAGGCUG